RNAcentral lists this ribosomal RNA (912 nucleotides) under uncultured bacterium. RNAcentral describes it as "bacterial SSU rRNA". It matches the Rfam family "Bacterial small subunit ribosomal RNA", at positions 21 to 906 of the family's 1533-position model. The record is from RNAcentral.
GGCUCAGAACGAACGCUGGCGGCGUGCUUAACACAUGCAAGUCGUACGAGAAAGGGGUAGCAAUACCCCCGGUAAAGUGGCGAACGGGUGAGUAACACGUGGGUAACCUGCCCUCGAGCUCGGAAUAACCCGCCGAAAGGUGGGCUAAUACCGGAUAACGUUUUCGGACCCCAGGGACCGAAAACCAAAGAUGGCCAAUGCUUGCAAGCUAUCACUUGAGGAGGGGCCCGCGGCCCAUUAGCUAGUUGGCGGGGUAAUGGCCCACCAAGGCAACGAUGGGUAGCCGGCCUGAGAGGGCGAUCGGCCACAUUGGAACUGAGACACGGUCCAGACUCCUACGGGAGGCAGCAGUGAGGAAUCUUGCGCAAUGGGCGAAAGCCUGACGCAGCAACGCCGCGUGGGUGAUGAAGGCCUUCGGGUCGUAAAACCCUGUCAGGUGGGAAGAAUCGGACGGGAGCUAAUACCUCCUGUUCCUGACUGUACCACCAGAGGAAGCCCCGGCUAACUCCGUGCCAGCAGCCGCGGUAAUACGGAGGGGGCCAGCGUUGUUCGGAAUCAUUGGGCGUAAAGGGCGCGUAGGCGGCCGGGUAAGUCUGACGUGAAAUCCCUUGGCUCAACCAAGGAAUUGCGUCUUAAACUGCUCGGCUUGAGUCCGGGAGAGGGUAGUGGAAUUCCCAGUGUAGCGGUGAAAUGCGUAGAUAUUGGGAGGAACACCGGUGGCGAAGGCGGCUACCUGGACCGGUACUGACGCUGAGGCGCGAAAGCUAGGGUAGCAAACAGGAUUAGAUACCCUGGUAGUCCUAGCUGUAAACGAUGGGCACUUGGUGUAGCGGGUAUCGACCCCUGCUGUGCCGAAGCUAACGCAUUAAGUGCCCCGCCUGGGGAGUACGGUCGCAAGGCUGAAACUCAAAG